Molecule: long non-coding RNA, 956 nt
Organism: Polyodon spathula (Mississippi paddlefish)
Lineage: Eukaryota; Metazoa; Chordata; Actinopteri; Acipenseriformes; Polyodontidae
Exons: 3
Source: RefSeq, a predicted model, not a curated record
CAGGUCGAGAAGGAGAUUGUUGAUUUGGAUUCAUUCGCUCUCUGUCACAAGUCAUAACCAAAUUUGACCUCUCUUUAGCAUUAUCAGCAUUAGCGGUUGUAGAUCAGUUUCACUCCAGUGGUCGAGCUGCACUAUAGUAAAUGACAUACCACACAGGACAUGAUUAGAUCCUGUUACUUUUCUAGAUACACAGGUGCAUGAAUAGAUAGUCAGGCUCCUUCUUAUUACCUGUAUUCUCAUUAAAUACAUGACACACAAGUAGAGCAUUACAUUCGAGUUUUACAUCUCUCAGGCAACUCGGAGGUCAUCACAACCAUCUUUAAGUAUGAGGAAGUUCGUCUGGACUCCUUUAAAACUUGGCCAGAAGAUGCUAAAGCAGACCCCAGCAUGCUUGCAAAGCCAGGGUUAUUUUAUACAGGUGCUGGAGAUGCUGUCCAGUGCUUUCAGUGUGGUGCAAGAUUAAUACAGUGUAAGUUGGAGGACGAUCCUUGGGCAGAGCAUGCUAAACAAAUCCAAGCUGCCAGUUUGCUGCAUGAGAGCAGUCAAAGACAAGAACGAGAGUACAAGCAAAUUAACAACUUCGAAUGAGGUAAUAGUCUCAUCUUAAAGGGAAAACUAACAGUACAGUCAAUCAAAUACAUUUGAUAGACUCUUAAAGAUAAUAAGAACCCAAGAUAGUUGCCUCCCCCUUUACACUGAUGUCUGGCUGCAGGUUGCUCUUGAUACUUUUGGUUGUUCAGAUACAGUAUGUUUCACAUUGUAAUGCAACUGGCUGCGUUGAAUAUUCUGAAAAGUUCUUCUAUCAACCUUUUGCUCAAAAACUUAAAAAACAGGCAGAAGCAACUCAUCUGGAGAACACUGUCUCAAGUGCUUUGAAAGAAACAAACUCAUCCAUCACUGGUAACUAUAGUAAAUUAUGCAUUCAUGCACUUGAACACAUACACACACAAACCUUG